This 294-nucleotide unclassified non-coding RNA is filed under the name Phanerochaete sp. RNAcentral describes it as "partial internal transcribed spacer region". The stretch from base 1 to 46 matches the Rfam family "Eukaryotic small subunit ribosomal RNA", at positions 1786 to 1831 of the family's 1831-position model. Lineage: Eukaryota; Fungi; Basidiomycota; Agaricomycetes; Polyporales; Phanerochaetaceae. The record is from RNAcentral.
AAGUCGUAACAAGGUUUCCGUAGGUGAACCUGCGGAAGGAUCAUUAACGAGUAACUGAACAGGUUGUAGCUGGCCUCUAGGGGCAUGUGCACGCCUGGCUCAUCCACUCUUCAACCUCUGUGCACCUGUUGUAGGUCGGUGGAAGGGCAAAGUAGUAAGUGAGGUCUCAGGACUUUGCUUACUCUCUGCUUGGAAGCCUUCCUAUGUUUCAUUACAAACGCUUCAGUUUAAGAAUGUAAUCUCUGCGUAUAACGCAUCUAUAUACAACUUUCAGCAACGGAUCUCUUGGCUCUC